AGCUUGCAGAACUACCAUUACUUCCAGUACUUGAUAUCCUGAAUUUUGCUUGUCCAGUACUCGAUAGAAUUUUCUGAACCCAAAGGCCAAAAAACCUAUAGCUGGACAUAGGACUAUAGUUAAUCUUUCAAAUUAUUUGUCUUCUAAUCUCACAGCAGAUCCCUUGCUGUUGAUCUUGAUUAGAAUUAUUUCUUCAUAUGAGGAUGUUGUGACAACUUAACUGGUCCUGCAUCUCAGGUAGGGAUUUACCUUUCGUUGUUCCUUGUUAAGUUUUUGGUGAGCUGGAGAGGCUAUUGACCCUGACCCAUAUCUUAUUACCUUUGACCGAAUCUUUGUCCAUGAAGUAUGCUGUCCCCGUGCCGGAACAUCUCAUUCUUCCAAUUACUUCAACUCCCCCAUGUCUACCCCAGUAACUUCCAUGGCGAUCACCAUCCUCGAUUCCAAGCUUGACUCUUUGUAUACCAAAUAUGUUCGCUAGAUCCCCAUUCCCCAACAACUGCUCCAUCCUCGAGGGUCGCUGCCCCCAUCAUCUUCCUAGGUCUCCUCGAUGCGCCCGCCGCCCCCUC
RNAcentral lists this long non-coding RNA (566 nucleotides) under Phoenix dactylifera (date palm). RNAcentral's name for it is "long non-coding RNA (PDAC_LNC016424)". The record is from RNAcentral. Lineage: Eukaryota; Viridiplantae; Streptophyta; Magnoliopsida; Arecales; Arecaceae.